UCUGGUUCCAUUUUGAGAUCUGAAAGAAUGCCUUGCAUCUCAUGUGCUUCAUUCAGAAAUUUAUUUCAUUUAUGUGGAAUUAGAACCAUAAGUAAUUGAUCAAUGAGUGAACUUAAGUGCUUUAGGAGUAAUUCUUCCACAAGUUCUUUAAGCCUUGUGGCAUUUCCACUUGUACAAGUCUCUCUCUUUGCAUAUCUGGUCG
Molecule: unclassified non-coding RNA, 202 nt
Filed under: Hevea brasiliensis (rubber tree)
Lineage: Eukaryota; Viridiplantae; Streptophyta; Magnoliopsida; Malpighiales; Euphorbiaceae
Source: RNAcentral